AUUGAACGCUGGCGGCAGGCCUAACACAUGUAAGUCGAGCGGAUGAAGGGAGCUUGCUCCUGGAUUCAGCGGCGGACGGGUGAGUAAUGCCUAGGAAUCUGCCUGGUAGUGGGGGAUAACGUCCGGAAACGGGCGCUAAUACCGCAUACGUCCUGAGGGAGAAAGUGGGGGAUCUUCGGACCUCACGCUAUCAGAUGAGCCUAGGUCGGAUUAGCUAGUUGGUGGGGUAAAGGCCUACCAAGGCGACGAUCCGUAACUGGUCUGAGAGGAUGAUCAGUCACACUGGAACUGAGACACGGUCCAGACUCCUACGGGAGGCAGCAGUGGGGAAUAUUGGACAAUGGGCGAAAGCCUGGUCCAGCCAUGCCGCGUGUGUGAAGAAGGUCUUCGGAUUGUAAAGCACUUUAAGUUGGGAGGAAGGGCAGUAAGUUAAUACCUUGCUGUUUUGACGUUACCAACAGAAUAAGCACCGGCUAACUUCGUG
This 484-nucleotide ribosomal RNA is filed under the name uncultured bacterium. RNAcentral's name for it is "partial 16S ribosomal RNA". It matches the Rfam family "Bacterial small subunit ribosomal RNA", at positions 30 to 507 of the family's 1533-position model. The record is from RNAcentral.